AACGAACGCUGGCGGCAGGCUUAACACAUGCAAGUCGAACGCUCGACCUUCGGGUCGGGAGUGGCAGACGGGUGAGUAACGCGUGGGAACGUACCCUUCGGUUCGGAAUAACCCAGGGAAACUUGGGCUAAUACCGGAUACGUCCUGGCCUGGAGACAGGGUGGGAGAAAGGUUUACUGCCGAAGGAUCGGCCCGCGUCGGAUUAGCUAGUUGGUGGGGUAACGGCCCACCAAGGCGACGAUCCGUAGCUGGUCUGAGAGGAUGAUCAGCCACACUGGGACUGAGACACGGCCCAGACUCCUACGGGAGGCAGCAGUGGGGAAUAUUGGACAAUGGGCGGAAAGCCUGAUCCAGCCAUGCCGCGUGAGUGAAGAAGGCCUUAGGGUUGUAAAGCUCUUUCAGCGGGGACGAUAAUGACGGUACCCGCAGAAGAAGUCCCGGCUAACUUCGUGCCAGCAGCCG
RNAcentral lists this ribosomal RNA (462 nucleotides) under uncultured bacterium. RNAcentral's name for it is "bacterial SSU rRNA". It matches the Rfam family "Bacterial small subunit ribosomal RNA", at positions 29 to 517 of the family's 1533-position model. The record is from RNAcentral.